RNAcentral lists this ribosomal RNA (419 nucleotides) under bacterium. RNAcentral's name for it is "partial 16S ribosomal RNA". It matches the Rfam family "Bacterial small subunit ribosomal RNA", at positions 355 to 776 of the family's 1533-position model. The record is from RNAcentral.
UGGGGGAUAUUGCACAAUGGGCGAAAGCCUGAUGCAGCGACGCCGCGUGGGGGAUGAAGGCCUUCGGGUUGUAAACUUCUUUUGCUCUGAACAAGGCAUGCUAAUGGGUGUGUUGAGUGUAGGGGUUGAUUAGCGCCGGCUAACUACGUGCCAGCAGCCGCGGUAAUACGUAGGGCGCGAGCGUUGUCCGUAAUUAUUGGGCGUAAAGGGCUUGUAGGUGGCUGGUUGCGUCUGUCGUGAAAGCUCAUGGCUUAACUGUGGGUUUGCGGUGGGUACGGGCUGGCUUGAGUGCAGUAGGGGAGGCUGGAAUUCCUGGUGUAGCGGUGGAAUGCGCAGAUAUCAGGAGGAAUACCGGUGGCGAAGGCGGGUCUCUGGGCUGUUACUGACACUGAGGAGCGAAAGCAUGGGGAGCGAACAGG